AGUCCGCACGGUAAACGAUGGAUGCCCGCCGUCGGCAUAUGACGUCGGCGCCCAAGCGAAAGCGUUAAGCAUCCCACCUGGGGAGUACGCCGGCAACGGUGAAACUCAAAGGAAUUGACGGGGGCCCGCACAAGCGGAGGAACAUGUGGUUUAAUUCGAUGAUACGCGAGGAACCUUACCCGGGCUUGAACUGCAGGAGAACGAUUCAGAGAUGAUGAGGUCCUUCGGGGCUCCUGUGGAGGUGCUGCAUGGUUGUCGUCAGCUCGUGCCGUGAGGUGUCGGCUUAAGUGCCAUAACGAGCGCAACCCCUCUCGCCAGUUGCCAUCGGGUGAUGCCGGGCACUCUGGCGACACUGCCGCCGCAAGGUGUGAGGAGGGUGGGGAUGACGUCAAAUCAGCACGGCCCUUACGUCCGGGGCUACACACGUGUUACAAUGGGGCAUACAGAGAGUAGGCCAUGCGCAAGUAUGACCGGAUCAAGAAAGUGCCCCUCAGUUCGGACUGGGGUCUGCAACCCGACCCCACGAAGCUGGAUUCGCUAGUAAUCGCGCAUCAGCCAUGGCGCGGUGAAUACGUUCCCGGGCCUUGUACACACCGCCCGUCAAGCCAUGAAAGCCGGGGGCGCCUGAAGUCCGUGACCGCGAGGGUCGGCCUAGGGUGAAACCGGUGACUGGGGCUAAGUCGUAACAAGGUAGC
This 695-nucleotide ribosomal RNA is filed under the name uncultured bacterium. Its description in RNAcentral is "bacterial SSU rRNA". It matches the Rfam family "Bacterial small subunit ribosomal RNA", at positions 792 to 1500 of the family's 1533-position model. The record is from RNAcentral.